Molecule: transfer RNA, 84 nt
Filed under: Pseudochloris wilhelmii
Lineage: Eukaryota; Viridiplantae; Chlorophyta; Trebouxiophyceae; Chlorellales; Chlorellaceae
Description: tRNA-Leu
Rfam family: tRNA
About the family: Transfer RNA (tRNA) molecules are approximately 80 nucleotides in length. Their secondary structure includes four short double-helical elements and three loops (D, anti-codon, and T loops).
Source: RNAcentral
GCCGUUAUGGCGGAAUUGGUAGACGCACAAGCUUGAGGGGUUUGCGAGCUUCUGCUCAUCCCGGUUCGAGUCCGGGUAGCGGCA